RNAcentral lists this ribosomal RNA (253 nucleotides) under uncultured bacterium. RNAcentral describes it as "partial 16S ribosomal RNA". It matches the Rfam family "Bacterial small subunit ribosomal RNA", at positions 524 to 776 of the family's 1533-position model. The record is from RNAcentral.
UACGUAGGGGGCAAGCGUUGUCCGGAAUUAUUGGGCGUAAAGCGCGCGUAGGUGGCCACAUAAGUCCGUUGUGAAAGUCAAAGGCUCAACCUUUGAAAGCCGAUGGAUACUGUGUGGCUAGAGUCCGGAAGAGGCGAGUGGAAUUCCUGGUGUAGCGGUGGAAUGCGCAGAUAUCAGGAGGAACACCAAUAGCGAAGGCAGCUCGCUGGGACGGUACUGACGCUAAGGCGCGAAAGCGUGGGGAGCGAACAGG